UAUGGUGACUAUAGCGAGGGGGAUCACCUUUCCCCAUUUCGAACAAAGAAGUUAAGCCCCUCAGCGCUGAUGGUACUGCAGUUAAAUGUGGGAGAGUAGGUCAUCGCCAUUU
RNAcentral lists this ribosomal RNA (112 nucleotides) under Mangrovivirga cuniculi. Lineage: Bacteria; Pseudomonadati; Bacteroidota; Cytophagia; Cytophagales; Mangrovivirgaceae. The record is from RNAcentral.